GAUGAACGCUGGCGGCGUGCUUAACACAUGCAAGUCGAACGGAAAGGCUCCUGCUUGCAGGGGUACUCGAGUGGCGAACGGGUGAGUAACACGUGGGUGAUCUGCCCUGCACUUCGGGAUAAGCCUGGGAAACUGGGUCUAAUACCGGAUAGGACGAUGGUUUGGAUGCCAUUGUGGAAAGUUUUUUCGGUGUGGGAUGAGCUCGCGGCCUAUCAGCUUGUUGGUGGGGUAAUGGCCUACCAAGGCGUCGACGGGUAGCCGGCCUGAGAGGGUGUACGGCCACAUUGGGACUGAGAUACGGCCCAGACUCCUACGGGAGGCAGCAGUGGGGAAUAUUGCACAAUGGGCGCAAGCCUGAUGCAGCGACGCCGCGUGGGGGAUGACGGCCUUCGGGUUGUAAACUCCUUUCGCUAGGGACGAAGCGCAAGUGACGGUACCUGGAGAAGAAGCACCGGCUAACUACG
Molecule: ribosomal RNA, 464 nt
Filed under: uncultured bacterium
Lineage: Bacteria
Description: partial 16S ribosomal RNA
Rfam family: Bacterial small subunit ribosomal RNA
Source: RNAcentral